RNAcentral lists this ribosomal RNA (380 nucleotides) under uncultured eukaryote. RNAcentral describes it as "partial 18S ribosomal RNA". It matches the Rfam family "Eukaryotic small subunit ribosomal RNA", at positions 592 to 976 of the family's 1831-position model. The record is from RNAcentral.
CAAUAGCGUAUAUUAAAGUUGUUGCGGUUAAAAAGCUCGUAGUUGGAUUUCUGCCGAGGACGACCGGUCCGCCCUCUGGGUGUGUAUCUGGUUUGGCCUGGGCAUCUUCUUGGAGAACGUAGCUGCACUUGACUGUGUGGUGCGGUGUCCAGGACUUUUACUUUGAGGAAAUUAGAGUGUUUCAAGCAGGCACACGCCUUGAAUACAUUAGCAUGGAAUAAUAAGAUAGGACCUCGGUUCUAUUUUGUUGGUUUCUAGAGCUGAGGUAAUGAUUAAUAGGGAUAGUUGGGGGCAUUCGUAUUUAACUGACAGAGGUGAAAUUCUUGGAUUUGUUAAAGACGGACUACUGCGAAAGCAUUUGCCAAGGAUGUUUUCAUUGA